GCCAGCAGCCAUAUCACCCUGCAAGCCCCAACUGGUAAACCAGUGACGGUAUGCAGGUGUGAGCGUGGUCAGUACCUGGAUGGGGGAUCUCCUGGGAAAACUAAGGUUGCUGCUGGAA
This 118-nucleotide ribosomal RNA is filed under the name Lepisosteus oculatus (spotted gar). The record is from RNAcentral. Lineage: Eukaryota; Metazoa; Chordata; Actinopteri; Semionotiformes; Lepisosteidae.